Molecule: long non-coding RNA, 824 nt
Organism: Manihot esculenta (cassava)
Lineage: Eukaryota; Viridiplantae; Streptophyta; Magnoliopsida; Malpighiales; Euphorbiaceae
Exons: 3
Source: RefSeq, a predicted model, not a curated record
AAAAAUUUGCUUUCACAUCCAAACUUGAAGAACCUUUCAUAUAGAUUCUGUACGCGUCCCACUCUCUAAUUCCGUUGUAAAUGGCGAGAGCUCCCUUCAGUCUCAUACGCUGCAUGUCUCUGAAUCCGUUUCUUCAUAUAGUUCUAUAGAAGAAAAGGAUAUAAAAUCAUUUCAUUCAUCUCAAAAUUCAAAACCCAUCUCCUGAUAUUUCUCUAAAAUCCUUAAAAACCAUCUUCUCAAUCUUUGCUUUUAUGGCGGGAACUCCAUUGCUGGUGAGAAAGUUUUCAAAGCUUUGAGAUUCUGUGAUUCUUGUUCUUGUUUUUUGCAUUUGGGAUUUGUGUAUCUGUAAAUAUAAGAAUACAGAAUCUCUUCUUUUGAUUGUUUUCUUUCUUUUAUGGCGAACCCAUCUGAUACCCAUCAUCAAGAUGCCAAUCGUGCGCCCUCUUCUUCACUGGAGCAAACCCCACUAAAACAACAAGUCCUAUUCCAGGUUUGAGACAUGACCCUGGUAUCUCCACUGAAUGGAGCAAGGAAGAGCAAACAAGUCUUGAAGAUGGUUUAGUCAAUUGGUGGUGUUACAGGGAAGCUUCUCGAGCAAAAUGCCGAGGCCUUCUAUCAAAUAUCUGCUAAUCUUUCUACAAUGCAGCUACAGAAGAACAUCAGUCUCCUCUGCCGAGUAUGUUGGAACUUGUGCCUUUGAUGAUCUGACUGAGUUGCUGUCAAGCUUGGUCCUAUUUCUUCCCAAAUAGAAUUCGUCUGUCUCGUUUAUAUUUGCAGGUUGAAUGACAUGCCUGAUGUAAUGAAGCAGAUGCCACCAUUGCCAU